RNAcentral lists this ribosomal RNA (253 nucleotides) under uncultured bacterium. RNAcentral's name for it is "partial 16S ribosomal RNA". It matches the Rfam family "Bacterial small subunit ribosomal RNA", at positions 524 to 776 of the family's 1533-position model. The record is from RNAcentral.
UACGUAGGGGGCAAGCGUUGUCCGGAUUUAUUGGGCGUAAAGAGCGUGUAGGCGGUUGGGUAGGUCCGUUGUGAAAACUCGAGGCUCAACCUCGAGACGCCGAUGGAAACCCCCUGACUAGAGUCCGGAAGAGGAGAGUGGAAUUCCUGGUGUAGCGGUGAAAUGCGCAGAUAUCAGGAAGAACACCCGUGGCGAAGGCGGCUCUCUGGUACGGUACUGACGCUGAGACGCGAAAGCGUGGGGAGCGAACAGG